CUUUCUCUCAACCUCCUUCCUGUAUCAGUCCUGCCCUCCCCUUUCUUCUCGGCUUGCUCUUUCCUCAAAGGCUAGCACUGCAGCCAGUGGCCACAUGUGGGGUGGCCACCCGGCUCCUGAGGACUCCCUCUUGUCUGGGAAUGACCUGAACAAACAGGCAGGCACCGAAGUCACAUCCGCACAGCAGGAGGCUGCCCCCAUUCAUAGCUGGAAGACAGGAAAAGACAUUUCUCCAAAGAAGACAUACCAAGAGACACAUGUAAAGAUGCUCAACAUCAGUCAUCAUCAGGGAAAUGUAAAUCAAAAGGCCAUGAGCUAUCACCUCCCACCUGUCAGAAUGGGUAAAGUCAACAACACAAGAGGAUACAGAGGAUGUGGAGAAAGGGAAACCCUCGUGCACUAGUGGUGGGAAUGCAACCUGGUGCAGCCUCUGUGGAAAAGUGUGGAGGUUUCUGAAAAAUAAUUAAAAAUAGAACUAGCGUAUGAGCCAGCAUUCACACUACUGAGUAUUUUUACCCAAAGAAUUCAAAAGGAUACACGCACCCCUAUGUUCAUUGCAGCAUUAUUUACAACAGCCAAAUUACGGAGUCAGCCCAAGUGUCCACUGAUAGAUGAGUGGAUAAAGAAGGGGUACAUAUGCGUACAUACCAUAUGUAUAUAAUGGAAUAUCACUCAGCCAUAAAAAAAGAAUGAAAUCUUGCCAUUUGCAAUGACAAGGAUGGAUCUAGAGAGUAUAAUGCUAAGCAAAAUAAGUCAGUCUGAGAAAGAUAAGUAGCAUAUGAUUUCACUCAUACAUGGAAUUUAAGAAACAAAUGAACAAAGGGGGGAAAGGGGAAACGAAGAAACCUACUCUUAACUACAGAGAACAAGCUGAUGGUUACCAGGGAGGAGGAUGCGGGGAAAUGGAGGAUGAGGAUUAAGAGUACACCUGUCAUGGGAUGGUUCCAGCGGUUGAGUCUCUGCCUUUGGCUCAGGGCGUGACCCCACGGUCCUGGGAUGGAGGCCCAGGUCGGGCUCCCUGCAUGGAGCCUGCUUCUCCCUCUGCCUGUGUCUCUGCCUCUCUGUGUCUCUCAUGAAUAAAUAA
This 1084-nucleotide long non-coding RNA is filed under the name Canis lupus familiaris (dog). Its description in RNAcentral is "lncRNA (ENSCAFG00845020129.1)". Lineage: Eukaryota; Metazoa; Chordata; Mammalia; Carnivora; Canidae. The record is from RNAcentral.